UUUCAUGGGAUGCUAGAGCAGAGAUUUUACAAGAAGAAAAUCAAGCACAUCCUAAAGCUUCCUUACAUUUUCUGUCUUCACCCGCCCCAUCUCCUCUCCCAAAUAAAUUUCAAAAUUUCUUUCUGGUUAGAGCAAGAAAGAGGAAAGCUUCACGAUUUGUGUGGUGUGGCUGGAACUGGCAUUUAAGGGAUAACAAGAGCUUAUAAACAAGCAUGCAUACUGUAUUUUAACUUGUCUUGAUUAUCUUUUUUUUCAUACAUGUGAG
This 265-nucleotide long non-coding RNA is filed under the name Panax ginseng (ginseng). RNAcentral's name for it is "long non-coding RNA (PGIN_LNC004430)". Lineage: Eukaryota; Viridiplantae; Streptophyta; Magnoliopsida; Apiales; Araliaceae. The record is from RNAcentral.